AAUCUUCCACAAUGGACGGAAGUCUGUUGGUGCAACGCCGCGUGAGCGACGAUGGUUUUCGGAUCGUAAAGCUCUGUUGUAAGGGAUGAACACGUACGGGAGUCACUGUCCGUACCUUGACGGUCCCUUUUCCGAAAGCCACGGCUACCUACGUGCGAGCAGCCGCGGUAAUACGUAGGUGGCAAGCGUUGUCCGGAAUUAUUGGGCGUAAAGCGCGCGCAGGCGGUCCUUUAAGUCUGAUGUGGAAGCCCACGGCUCAACCGUGGAGGGUCAUUGGAAACUGGAGGACUUGAGUACAGAAGAGGAAAGCGGAAUUCCACGUGUAGCGGUGAAAUGCGUAGAGAUGUGGAGGAACACCAGUGGCGAAGGCGGCUUUCUGGUCUGUAACUGACGCUGAGGCGCGAAAGCGUGGGGAGCAAACAG
Molecule: ribosomal RNA, 423 nt
Filed under: uncultured bacterium
Lineage: Bacteria
Description: partial 16S ribosomal RNA
Rfam family: Bacterial small subunit ribosomal RNA
Source: RNAcentral